GCAGAAGCUAACACAGAUCUUCUCUGGAGAAAGGUAUCCUCAUCCUAGGCUUCAGAUGAUUCCUGCAAAUAAUUCAUCAAGUACAUGACCUUCAGCUGGAGAGUGGAAGUCUUUUGGAGAUUAGUGCAGGGUGGAGAAACUUGUGGUGGAGAAUGUUGAUGUGUUAACACAAAUGAGGACCAGCUUUGACAAACCAGACCAGAUGGCUGCACUCUUUAAACGAUUAUCAUCUGUUGACAGUGUCUUGAAGAGGAUGACAAUAAUUGGUGUAAUUUUAUCCUUCCGAUCAUUGGCACAAGAAGCACUUAGAGAUGUCUUAUCCUACCACAUUCCUUUUCUUGUAAGUUCAAUUGAAGAUUUUAAGGAUCACAUUCCAAGGGAAACUGAUAUGAAGGUUGCAAUGAAUGUGUAUGAGUUAUCAUCAGCUGCUGGAUUACCUUGUGAGAUUGAUCCUGCAUUGGUCGUAGCUCUUUCUUCACAAAAAUCAGAAAACAUUAGUCCAGAAGAAGAAUAUAAAAUUGCCUGCCUUCUCAUGGUGUUUGUGGCAGUUUCUUUGCCUACACUGGCCAGUAAUGUGAUGUCUCAGUACAGCCCUGCUAUAGAAGGGCAUUGCAACAACAUACAUUGCUUGGCCAAAGCCAUCAACCAGAUUGCUGCAGCUUUGUUUACAAUUCACAAAGGAAGCAUUGAAGACCGUCUUAAAGAAUUUCUGG
Molecule: small RNA, 713 nt
Filed under: Pongo abelii (Sumatran orangutan)
Lineage: Eukaryota; Metazoa; Chordata; Mammalia; Primates; Hominidae
Description: processed transcript
Source: RNAcentral